This 253-nucleotide ribosomal RNA is filed under the name uncultured bacterium. RNAcentral's name for it is "partial 16S ribosomal RNA". It matches the Rfam family "Bacterial small subunit ribosomal RNA", at positions 524 to 776 of the family's 1533-position model. The record is from RNAcentral.
UACAGAGAGUGCAAACGUUGUUCGGAAUUACUGGGCUUAAAGAGCACGUAGGCUGCGUCGUAAGUGUCAGGUGAAAUCCCACGGCUCACCCGUGGAACUGCCUGGCAGACUGCGAUGCUAGAGUGUGGUAGGGGAGAGCGGAACUCUUGGUGGAGCGGUGAAAUGCGUAGAUAUCAAGAGGAACACCGGUGGCGAAGGCGGCUCUCUGGUCCAUAACUGACGCUGAGGUGCGAAAGCUAGGGGAGCAAACGGG